UACGUAGGGAGCAAGCGUUGUCCGGAUUUAUUGGGCGUAAAGAGCUCGUAGGCGGCUUGUUGCGUCGACUGUGAAAGCCCGUGGCUUAACCGCGUGGUCUGCAGUCGAUACGGGCAGGCUAGAGUUCGGUAGGGGAGACUGGAAUUCCUGGUGUAGCGGUGAAAUGCGCAGAUAUCAGGAGGAACACCGGUGGCGAAGGCGGGUCUCUGGGCCGAUACUGACGCUGAGGAGCGAAAGCGUGGGGAGCAAACAGG
RNAcentral lists this ribosomal RNA (254 nucleotides) under uncultured bacterium. RNAcentral describes it as "partial 16S ribosomal RNA". It matches the Rfam family "Bacterial small subunit ribosomal RNA", at positions 524 to 776 of the family's 1533-position model. The record is from RNAcentral.